UCCAGGACCUAGCAGCUGGGUGCUAGGUAUCAGGCCAGGCAGGAAGACUGGUGCGGAGGACCCUUGGACGGUUAGGAAUCGGGACACGGAGGGGAGAGCGAGGAUUCAACAGUCCUGCAGCUAAGGUCUGCAUCCAAGCCGGCAAGCCCGCCUCAAAUAGGCAACGUCACCCAGCGGCUGUCAACUCGACCCAUGCUCAGCACUGACAGGCCUGCCAAGGACCCAGAACUGCUGAAGUCAAAGUUUAGCUGUGCCAAGCCCUCCCUGCCCCCUAACUUGGGCUCUCAAGGGAGACCUCUCUGCAUUAGGCAGUAGGAGUCCAGGAAGCAGAGACCAUCGGAAGCAGCAGUGAAACGAUAAUGAAGAUCUGAAAAGGUUCCAUCCAUCCCCCUCCACUUCCCCUUCUCCCAAUCCGGGCCUCACUUUUUCAAGGGCCGGCACAGGAAGCAUUUAGUACACGCCAAACAAAUUUGUUAGAUUUUUAAUAAGAACAUGGAAAUCCCAAUCAGCCCUUCAACAAAAUUAAAAUACAGAAAGUGAAAUUAAAAGUAUUCUACAGUAAAUGACUUUUAUUAAAAAAAAAAAGUAAUUGUGAACAUAUAAACAAGCCUGCAGGGCACUACAGUACAGCUGGAAAGAAGAUACAUUUCCCAAUGUACCUAUGGGCCAAUAAACUCCAUCAUUUUCAAAUAAAUUCUUAAUAAAA
This is a long non-coding RNA of Suncus etruscus (white-toothed pygmy shrew), 706 nucleotides long. RefSeq lists it as uncharacterized. The transcript is spliced from 2 exons. The record is from RefSeq and is a predicted model, not a curated record. Lineage: Eukaryota; Metazoa; Chordata; Mammalia; Eulipotyphla; Soricidae.